UACGUAGGGGGCAAGCGUUGUCCGGAAUUACUGGGCGUAAAGAGCUCGUAGGUGGUUUGUCGCGUUGUUCGUGAAAACCGGGGGCUUAACCCUCGGCGUGCGGGCGAUACGGGCAGACUGGAGUACUGCAGGGGAGACUGGAAUUCCUGGUGUAGCGGUGGAAUGCGCAGAUAUCAGGAGGAACACCGGUGGCGAAGGCGGGUCUCUGGGCAGUAACUGACGCUGAGGAGCGAAAGCGUGGGGAGCGAACAGG
This 253-nucleotide ribosomal RNA is filed under the name uncultured bacterium. RNAcentral's name for it is "partial 16S ribosomal RNA". It matches the Rfam family "Bacterial small subunit ribosomal RNA", at positions 524 to 776 of the family's 1533-position model. The record is from RNAcentral.